Molecule: long non-coding RNA, 1200 nt
Filed under: Oryzias sinensis (Chinese medaka)
Lineage: Eukaryota; Metazoa; Chordata; Actinopteri; Beloniformes; Adrianichthyidae
Description: lncRNA (ENSOSIG00000012468.1)
Source: RNAcentral
AUGCGGUUUUGUGGUUUUCACCAUAAGAUUUUCUACAUUAGGGUAAUUACUUCAAUGCUGGUUCUGUUUCUUUGCCUCCAACAGAAAUGCAUGCUUGAAUUGGAUGCUAUAUACCCUGUCAAAGUGUGGGAGUAUGAGGGCCAGGGGUCAACCAGUGGCUCUUUGAGUUGCUGCAGUCGUCAGGACUCUACCGACAACCUCAACUUCCUUGCUGACCUUGGAACAAAGUUCAAGACUUUGGCUGAGAUUUGUUCCCCUCCUUCAUCAGCUGUCAGAUCCUCUGUGACACAGACAGCAAUGGCUACUCCCAGAAGGACAUCUGAUUUGGUUGAACCAGUUUUUAAGCCUGUAAUUGAAACAAAGUCCCUCAUUGAAUCAAAGCCUCUUAUUGAAACAAAGCCUCUUAUUGAAAAAAAGUCUGUUUUUGAAACAAAGCGUCUUAUCGAAACAAAGCGUCUUAUUGAAACAAAGCCUCUUAUUGAAACAAAGCCUCUUAUCGAAACAAAGCCUCUUAUUGAAACAAAGCCUCUUAUUGAAACAAAACCUCUUAUUAAAACAAAGCGGUCUAAUGGAACCACAGAGAAAACUGCAGUGCCUACAAAUAUCUUUACUUCGGCUUCAAAUGAAGUUAGCAGCUCCCAUUCAUCCAUGAGUCUUCCCCACUCUCAGAUGACAAACAUCGGCCAUUCCUCUGAUGUGGGGUAUUCUUCUUUGCUGCAUUAUCCCACUCAGAGAGUCACGCUGCAGGAGCCAUUUUGCUACAACGUCAACACUUUACUGCAACCUAUGCAGUACAUGGUGGCACCCAAUGUACAGAACAGCAUUAUGCUUGAGGACUGGUCCAGUGCACCCAACCUUUCAGGCAUGGUUAUGGUCAAUGGUUCCCAGGGUCUAUCUGAAGCUUUUGUUAGUGGAGCUCCAGGCUCUUUCACAGGGUUGGUCACCUCAAACACAGAGGGCUGUGUAAACUUUCAAAGUCCUGCCAGUCCAAUAAGUCCAUUUGGAGCCACGGUACUGCUGCCUGGCUCCCCAGCUUCUGGAGAAGUCCUUAUGUCCCCAGGAUCUGUCUCUAUGGACAGCUGGAGAAUAAUGCCACAAAAUUCUAGUGACAACUACAUGUUACUCUCUGAUGGUCCAUUAGAGGUUGAAGAAAAAGACCCAGAACAUUUCCAGAUAAUGGUUUCGAACCAACCUUAUUAA